GAAGGGGCCGGACCUGGCCAGGCCAGCGUCCCAGGCUCCUGUGAACGGUGGGAACUGGCUCUGGCGAGGGUGCACUGUCACAGCAUUACUCCACUCAGGGCAGCGCUGCAGGACUCAGGGGCGCACACAUCUGCAGUGCCAGAGAGGCAAGAGGCAGGCGGCAGGGCAAUGCAGAACUGAUGGCUGCAGGGUGCUGGUGGAAGGGAGCAGGGCAACUCGGGGGAAACCGAGGCCAUGGCACGGGAAAGUCCCUGCCCCACUCUCCACUCCCUACCUCCGCUCCUCACGUGGACAUUAUCUCCAGUCGUCCCUUCUGGCGCCAGACCCUGGCCCUUCUCUCUCAAUUCGUGUGGACACGAUCGCGUGGCUGCUUCUCUGACAGAAGAACUAUGUAGGGAAAUCAAACUUCACCGUUUCCUCUCCGAACCUAACGUUAAGGUUUUUAAGUCUGUCUUGUAAUCAAUAUAUUUUUCAUUUUCAUUUCCAAAAUACUAAAGGAGUUUGAUGGAAAUAAAUGAUAAAGAAAUGUGAA
This is a long non-coding RNA of Cavia porcellus (domestic guinea pig), 532 nucleotides long. RefSeq lists it as uncharacterized. Lineage: Eukaryota; Metazoa; Chordata; Mammalia; Rodentia; Caviidae. The transcript has 2 exons. The record is from RefSeq and is a predicted model, not a curated record.